Molecule: ribosomal RNA, 528 nt
Filed under: Selenops submaculosus
Lineage: Eukaryota; Metazoa; Arthropoda; Arachnida; Araneae; Selenopidae
Description: partial 16S ribosomal RNA
Rfam family: Bacterial large subunit ribosomal RNA (bases 98-395)
Source: RNAcentral
UUUAAAUGAAGACCAGAACAAAAGAUUAAACGUUUAAAUCAAUAUCUAUAUUUAAUUAAUUCAAAUUAUCUUAAAUGUAAAAAGACAUUUAUUAAAAAGAAAGACGACAAGACCCUAUUGAACUUAACUUAAGUUAAACUGGGGCAGUUUAUUAAUAAUAAUUUUAAUAUAAAAAAUAAAAUAAAUAAUCCAAUAUUAUUGAAACGAUCAAGUUACCAUAGGGAUAACAGCGUAAUAAUUUUCCAAAGCUCUUAUAAAAACAAUAGUUUACGACCUCGAUGUUGAAUUAAUUACCUAAUUUAAAGCAAAAGUUAAUAAAGGAAGUCUGUUCGACUUUUAAAAAAUUACAUGAUUUGAGUUCAGACCGGUAUAAGCCAGGUCGGUUUCUAUCUUCUCUCUAAUUCUUAUAGUACGAAAGGGCCUAAGAAACUAAUUUAAUUAAUUAAUUGGCAGAAAAAUGCAUUAGAAUUAGAAUCUAAUGAAACUAAUAUACCAUUUAUUUUACUUUACCUAAUUAUUACAAUUAGA